GAUGAACGCUGGCGGCGUGCCUAAUACAUGCAAGUCGAGCGAACAGACGAGGAGCUUGCUCCUCUGACGUUAGCGGCGGACGGGUGAGUAACGCGUGGAUAACCUACCUAUAAGACUGGGAUAACUUCGGGAAACCGGAGCUAAUUCCGGAUAAUAUAUUGAACCGCAUGGUUCAAUAGUGAAAGACGGUUUUGCUGUCACUUAUAGAUGGAUCCGCGCCGCAUUAGCUAGUUGGUAAGGUAACGGCUUACCAAGGCAACGAUGCGUAGCCGACCUGAGAGGGUGAUCGGCCACACUGGAACUGAGACACGGUCCAGACUCCUACGGGAGGCAGCAGUAGGGAAUCUUCCGCAAUGGGCGAAAGCCUGACGGAGCAACGCCGCGUGAGUGAUGAAGGUCUUCGGAUCGUAAAACUCUGUUAUUAGGGAAGAACAAAUGUGUAAGUAACUAUGCACGUCUUGACGGUACCUAAUCAGAAAGCCACGGCUAACUACGUG
This 497-nucleotide ribosomal RNA is filed under the name uncultured bacterium. RNAcentral's name for it is "partial 16S ribosomal RNA". It matches the Rfam family "Bacterial small subunit ribosomal RNA", at positions 28 to 507 of the family's 1533-position model. The record is from RNAcentral.